UACGUAGGUGGCAAGCGUUAUCCGGAUUUACUGGGUGUAAAGGGCGUGUAGGCGGGAAAGCAAGUCAGAUGUGAAAACCAUGGGCUCAACCUGUGGCCUGCAUUUGAAACUGUUUUUCUUGAGUACUGGAGAGGCAGACGGAAUUCCUAGUGUAGCGGUGAAAUGCGUAGAUAUUAGGAAGAACACCAGUGGCGAAGGCGACUUACUGGACUGUAACUGACGCUGAGGCAUGAGAGCAUGGGGAGCGAAAGGG
RNAcentral lists this ribosomal RNA (253 nucleotides) under uncultured Oscillospira sp. RNAcentral describes it as "partial 16S ribosomal RNA". It matches the Rfam family "Bacterial small subunit ribosomal RNA", at positions 524 to 776 of the family's 1533-position model. The record is from RNAcentral. Lineage: Bacteria; Bacillati; Bacillota; Clostridia; Eubacteriales; Oscillospiraceae.